CCUGCCGCAUUCUUUCAGUGCUUUAACUGCAAAGGUUUAUUAAGAUGUUCCUUUGCUUCGACUGGCUUUUUGACAUUCCGUUUUCUAUCUCUCGAUCACUGCGACAGCCAAGUGGCAAGAUAGGACGCCCUCUAGGGAUGUGAUCUCAGGAAAGAAUUCCGGCCUCGAUAAGUUACUUUAAGAAAAAGUGCAUGGAAUUCCGCUCAGCGCGGCGAGCAAUCCUACAGCUGCUGCGUACGGUGACUCCCGCGGACCUCCCAGCGCUGCUCGAGUGGAUGCGAACAACCCGGGAUUUUGAUGAAUUCACUCAAGAUAAUAACGACAUUCUGUUGAAAAACAUAGCAGAGGACCUUCGGAAUUGCUUACCUCUAGAAACCAUGCUUUCCUCAGAACAUGUAGCCCUCCAAAAAAUACAGCAGCAGCCAGAACCCACAGUUCACGUUGAUGCAUUCCUUUAUGAUGAAGACUUUAUUGAUUCAUUAUGUGAGGAAGGAAAAAUGAGCAGAAAUUACUGUAUGGUGUGUGGCUCACACCAGACGGCACCUUUAGGAUUCAUUUCUCAUUCCUUCUCCCUCAUGGAAUUGAAGUUCAUUUAUCAUCAUGUGCUCCCUGAUCUGUCGGGAAAGGUCUUGGUUGAUGUUGGCUCCAGGCUUGGCACAGUCCUCUAUGGGGUAAAGUCCAGCUUGUGGACAUAUUCAACAUUUGGAAAAUACUUUCUCCUCCUGCUAGCAACAGUUUUGCCUGCCACCAUCCAAGAUCGCAGACACCAGACUGACUUCCCUAAGCCAAACAGGACACAUCUCCAGCCACCUGCCUCUAGUGUCAGACUGUGCAUGAUUUUCCAUUAUAUUCCCCACGGGUUAACUCCUUUCUUGCUUUCUGCUGCUGUAACUUCCCAAGAAAUUACAGAAACAGGGUAUUAAACAGAGAAUCUGUAUGCGAUCACUUUUCUCAUUUCCAACUUUAUUGUAUGCACAGUUUCGUCAGGAAAAGUAAGAAGUCAAUCUUUCAAAAUAUAAUUGCUUUUAAAUAAUGAAAUUAAUAAACUACAGUCAAGAUCUUGAUCAGUAAGAGUUUGAGUUCUCGAAGUUACAAGUUUUACAUACAUGUUAUUUAUCUUUCAUUUUAUUUUUACUUUAUUGAAUUCUAUUUUUUUAAAGUGUGAUUUUUUUUCUUAAUUUUGUGUAGAAAUGAACUCACAGUUCAUUUACUUGCAUCAUAACAUGCCUUUAUUUUUUCAGGGUUAUCUUUACAGUUCAGCACUGCAACUAUAUGGAGUAGAAUUGAAUGGAGACUUUUGCCAGUUGCAGGAAAUGGUCAUAAAAAAAUACCAGUUCACUGACAGAAUAAAGGUGCUUCAUGCAGACAUCUGUACCCAGGGUUCACUGCUGCAAAAUGCUGAUGUCAUUAUCAUGAAUAAUGUCUUCGAAUAUUUUCUUGAUGAGGCAGAACAGGCCAG
This is a non-coding RNA of Callorhinus ursinus (northern fur seal), 1459 nucleotides long. The record is from RefSeq and is a predicted model, not a curated record. Lineage: Eukaryota; Metazoa; Chordata; Mammalia; Carnivora; Otariidae.